GGCUUGUUGGCCGAGGGGUGAGAUUCUUGCUUUGGGUGCGAGAAUUUCCGGGUACAAAUCCCGGACGAGCCC
Caranx melampygus (bluefin trevally) is the source of this 72-nucleotide non-coding RNA. The record is from the annotation of a GenBank genome assembly. NCBI's taxonomy places the organism in Eukaryota, Metazoa, Chordata, Actinopteri, Carangiformes, Carangidae.